UACGUAGGUGGCAAGCGUUGUCCGGAAUCAUUGGGCGUAAAGGGCGCGCAGGCGGUUCGGUAAGUCGGUCUUAAAAGUGCGGGGCUUAACCCCGUGAUGGGAUUGAAACUGCCGGACUGGAGUGUCGGAGAGGAAAGCAGAAUUCCUAGUGUAGCGGUGAAAUGCGUAGAUAUUAGGAGGAAUACCAGUGGCGAAAGCGGCUUUCUGGACGACAACUGACGCUGAGGCGCGAAAGCCAGGGGAGCAAACG
Molecule: ribosomal RNA, 250 nt
Filed under: uncultured bacterium
Lineage: Bacteria
Description: partial 16S ribosomal RNA
Rfam family: Bacterial small subunit ribosomal RNA
Source: RNAcentral